CCCUCCGCCAUCCUCGCGCGCCUCAGCGCCGCCGCCUCGCCUCACUCCCCCCCCCAGCCAUGCUGCCUCGCCUCGCGCGGCUCAGCCCCGCCGUCGCCUCGCCCGCAGCGCCCCCAGCCCCGCCGCCAGGAGGUCGGCGCGGAGAACCGCACGAGCGCCGACCGCCACAUCGAGCCGUCGUGAUCCCCUCCGUCCCCUCCCCUUUUUGCUGGUCACCGGAGCAGAAGGCGUCGUCAUCCACAUCGCAGCGGAGAGCGAUCCCCCGAGAAGGAUUCCAUGGCGCCGCCGUCAUCGUCGUCCUCGGCGAGGACGCCAAUCCGAGGUGAGCUGCUUCAGAUCCUUCUGCAGGUCAUCGUCUUCCUGGCUGUCCGCGCGUGGGCCGUACCGCUCCGCCUCUGCUUCGUUGGGCAGGACUGCAAUAUUCUCUAUUCCCCACUGCUCUCUCUCUCCCCGCCGUCGUGCUCGUGUUGCUCCUGCACGAGCGCGUGCUGCAGAAAAGAUGGGGCCGCCAACACAGCUGACCUGACAUGGAACGCAGAUCUGCUUAUCUAUGCCAACAUAAUGUUUGACAAAAGUCCAAGAAGUUUAUUCGCCCUUUUGAUCUCUUGAUUGGGCACGGAUGAAGAGUUUUUGGAUGCAGUAAAGAUGCAGGUUUAUUUUGUUUUCAUUAUUUCUUACAUGUUACGAAUUUUGCCUUAAAGCUAGCUGUAGUUGAUAGUGGCUUAAGACUUCAGUGUGGACGUGAUCUUCUCACAAUUAUGUAGAUUGCUUACUGUUAUUUUCCAUUGUCUGCCUAUUUUGACUGACCCAAACGGACACAUGGAUUUGAGGUUAUCAUGCAAAUCAGUUGGUGCAAGGUGAGGAUUACAUGUUUAUGGCAUGCCCUAAAUGUGUGACGAUGGUCUAAACUGAAUCUACAUAUGGCUCUUUGGAUAUUUAUGUUGAUCAGAGUUGAAGAACCAAAACUGAGUUAUUUGGACUAUAUCAUGUCUUUGAUUUCGGAAUAAAUAAGUUAUGUUUGCCUAACACAGCUCUCUGUUAAGAUAUUUUGUGUAUUGUUGUCAUAUGAUAUGCAUUAUAUGAUUUUGAUCUCUCUCACACGCGCUAAAAUCUUGUGUGUCUGCUGACCGGCACCUUUUUGUUGCUGCAGUGGCUUCAAAAGGGGCGGUGGGGGACAAGACCAUGGCUUGUGUGGUAAAUGGGUAGGCUGGCAAUGUUAGUGUGGUUGAUCCUGCCGCAGAGGACUUCGUGGCGGCAUUGGAUAGUUCCAAGGCGCACAUGGUGAUGUCGGACGGUGACCUGAAGCCUCGAAUUUAUGUCAACAUGAGAAAGACUGCUCAGGACAGAUGCCGCUCUCGCUCAACCUCUAUGUGCAGUUCAAUUCCAACUCUGUUAUUUGCAUCUCCUGACUCUCUGAUCAACAGAUAUUCGAGCACGUGAAUACCGUUUCCUGGUUUUGACUUCCAUUCUACCAAGCUUAUUACCAUAUCCGAUUUUUUUGGUUCAAGUGCGGCGGUUUAUUCUACAUUUUCAAUGAAUAUUUAGUUAUUUUAUAAGUAUAAUUAAUUGUUGCUGGAUAGUGGUUCUGCAGUGCACCUCGAUUAAUAGGUAGAAUUUUUUAGAAUUUAUUAGCAUGUUUUCUAAUGGAUGGUUGAAGCACAUCUUCAAUCAAUUAUUUCAUGCGCUGCCAACCUAAUAUAUUUUCUCUUUGUGGAAUGUUGUGUGGAAAAGUUGGAUUUCCAGUAGUAUUUGUUUUUGAGUAAUCUUUGACAUGGCAUAAUUUUUAGUAGCACACAAACCACACGAAAGGCACACAUGCUCUAGCCAUACCUAAUCGGUAAUAAAUUGUCACACGAGAUGAGGAUUUACUCCUACCCUGUGCUCGACAUUGAAAUAUGGAAAUUCCUAUUUUUUGUAAGCACAGGCCCAGUGAUUUAUGUUGAUGCAUUGAUCGUAUUAUUUUUAUUUGUCCCGUUCCUAAAUUAUCCAGUUAA
Molecule: non-coding RNA, 1994 nt
Organism: Lolium perenne
Lineage: Eukaryota; Viridiplantae; Streptophyta; Magnoliopsida; Poales; Poaceae
Source: RefSeq, a predicted model, not a curated record